GCUCCAUAGGCGGCUGGCAGGCCGGUGGUGCAGGUUGCAGGCUUUCGGGUCAGUGGGGCUCUUGGCUGGAGGGGAGCCAGAGGCCUGAAGGAUGCAGGCGUUCUUGCUGCUGCAGGACUCUGUGGAGAAUGAAGGCACAUACAUAAAUGGUUUAUAAUAGAAGUCUCCAGGAGUCCUAACGUGCAGACAAACGUUAGAAGAAGGAAGGUCGGAAGGAAAAGUAAAAUGCUGCCUGCCAAACACAGAUGAGCCAAGGACGUCAGAAAACGGUCCAUGAAAAAGGCUUCAAGAUUGGGCCUUGCAAGCUUCUACCUAGGUAGUGGCUCACCUGGCCUUGAUGAACUUCCUGCAUGUGUCGACAACAUGCUCCAUCUGCAGGUACAUGGCUGUGCUCAUCACAGCCAUGAUGUUGCCUUCCCUCAGGUUGAGCCUAGAUGUGUACAUGAAAUCCAAGAGGAUGCAAAACCCCUCAGGGCUGAUCUCAGGGUCCAGAUUGAUUACACUAAGGUUGCAUUUCAACUGGUCAGUGAAGAUGCUGUAGAACAGGCCACUGUAAAGCAAACAGAGUUGUCACCAUAGUGGUCACAAAGCAUCUCUGUAUCUUGUCGUCCUGGAGCCCAGAUCCCAGAGCUCUGUGGUACUUAAUAAUAACUUCUACUUGUGGAAAGCCUAGCAGAUGCCAGCAAUUCCUGAAGCAUUUUACAAGUGUACAUUAGCUGACGUUCUCCCUAAUCCUGUAAGAUUAUACCACCAUGUUCUACCUUUACACAUGGAGAAACUGAGCUAGAGGAGCAUGGGAGAUAGUCUUGGAGCUGUUUUUCUUUUGUCUAACUUAGCAUUCACCCGCUCCUACUUCAUGUGUUUGGUAUGAGUAUUUCCCUUGCUUUAUCA
Long non-coding RNA from Grammomys surdaster, 891 nucleotides. RefSeq lists it as uncharacterized. NCBI's taxonomy places the organism in Eukaryota, Metazoa, Chordata, Mammalia, Rodentia, Muridae. The transcript is spliced from 4 exons. The record is from RefSeq and is a predicted model, not a curated record.